ACGCUCGACACCUACGGGAGGCAGCAGUAGGGAAUCUUCCACAAUGGACGCAAGUCUGAUGGAGCAACGCCGCGUGAGUGAAGAAGGUCUUCGGAUCGUAAAACUCUGUUGUUAGAGAAGAACACGAGUGAGAGUAACUGUUCAUUCGAUGACGGUAUCUAACCAGCAAGUCACGGCUAACUACGCGCCAGCAGCCGUGGUAAUCUGAGCGGGCUGGCAAGGC
RNAcentral lists this ribosomal RNA (223 nucleotides) under uncultured bacterium. RNAcentral describes it as "partial 16S ribosomal RNA". It matches the Rfam family "Bacterial small subunit ribosomal RNA", at positions 328 to 539 of the family's 1533-position model. The record is from RNAcentral.